Molecule: long non-coding RNA, 2043 nt
Organism: Cyanistes caeruleus (blue tit)
Lineage: Eukaryota; Metazoa; Chordata; Aves; Passeriformes; Paridae
Source: RefSeq, a predicted model, not a curated record
AAACAGAACCCUCCAAGAAGGGGGUCAGCUGUCCAGAUCAAUAAGAAUAUUUGAUUGAACUAUAAAUACGCCAAAUGGAAAAAUCAGCUUCAAAGAAUCACGUCUCCACAUCAGUAAUAUCUCUCCAGAAAGUCAUCUUCGUUUCAGCCAGAUUUCUUGGGGUGUCACAGCGUACCUUGACCUGACCAUCUCUUCCUUCACUCCCAGCAAGCCUGUGCAAGCCAUAUGUCAGGAAGGAGGAAUUCAAUGAUAGACAAUUGUCAGUGAUGGCACUGGGCAUGUCAUCUGCCACUGGGUGAUCAGGAGCUGAGAAACAUGAGGUGACAUGCAGUGGAAAUUAAGGUAUCAAUACUGAUGUUCAAUUGAGCUGGCCAGGCACAGAGGUAUGAAGCUAUAAGGUUAUGGCUAGGCUGCCUGAGGUACCUGCAUGGGGCUGGUAGAUGUGGCAAGAGACCUGUGGGAGACCUGUCAUCUUUCAGAGUUGAAGACCAGGCAGAGCAAUACAGGAUAGCUCCAACUGUAAGAAAUACUUGUUGAUGAACAACAAAAUUAAAGUCCUCCUCACAAAACAACCUGCAGCAGUUUAACUGGGGCUCAGCCUAGGUGUCCAGAGCUCUUUGAUGUGUUUUUGGUUAUUUGAGUAAGCCCUAAAGGGCUAACAAAUAUGGCUUGAGCUGGGUCUUGGAUACCUGUUUCUGUAUCACCCGCUGGAUUGAGCUCCUGCUGCUUCCUGAAGAGUGCACUGAAUGCUCUGUUAACUGUAUUGAUUAGAUUGUCAUGAGGUUUUGUCUUUAUCACUUGUUUUUAUGUCUUUUCUACACACUCAGUAACAUUCACAUUCAAGUUGACCUUUUGAUCCUCCUCAUAUUGUUAGAGAAAGUUCAUAAUUAGACAAAAUAAAAAUCUCUUCUUUUCUUUGCCCCACUUAGUCCAUAUAUUAUGUAGUGGGAAUAAGACCCAGUCAGUAUUGUUUAAGUGCCACUGGAGUAAAUCAAAUAGCCUAGUUUUCUUUUUAGAGAAUCACUGCACAAUUAAAUAAGAGGCAUGUGAUUACUUAAAAGUGAUAUUGAUGUAAAAAGAAGUGAUUUAAGGUACGCCUUAUUGCAAAUCCUUUGUGCACAUUGCCAAGUAGUUUAGACGUUCCACAAAAGCUUGAAAUAUGGAAAAGUGUUACCUGCAGGACCUGCUCUUUUAAAACAUCCCCAUGAGCUCCCAACUCUCAUUUAUCAAAAGCUGGCAACUGAGCAAUUGUAGUGGUAGUACUCAUUGCAGUAAAAUUACCAGCAUACAUGAACAGAGGAAGCUGCUGGGCAGUAUCAAAAGAGUCUCCCCAAAGUCACUUUGGCACUUUUUCCAAAGGUUUAAAUAUUGUUAACACUUUGACCAAGGCAGUCAGUAAGUAAAUAGGAACUUGUGGGAAUGUUUCCUUUUAAAGUCUGGUACAAAACAAGUUAUAGUUUUUGAUGUAAUCUUGUUUCUUUGCAAGGGACCAACAAAGCUUUGUCUUCUGAAUAGGCAAAACCAAAUGACAGCACACAAGUCUCUCACUCACAAUCUCCAAAUCUACUUUUUCAGUACAUUACAUUCCCUAAAAUCUCUUCCUGCUGGUUUUCCUCAGGGAUACACUCACAGCCAUUUCUCUGGUUUUCUGCUGAUUUUCUCCUGUCUUCCUCCCACAUAUUCAAUUUGUCAAACAACUUCUUAACCUCUGCAUUCAUACCCAGUGUCAGGAACCCCUUUCCCACUCUCACUAUUGCUGUACUAUCACUGGGUGCCACCAUUUCUGGAGCAGUGACUUUUGUUACUUUUUAUUACCAUUGCAGUCCCCAACCUUGUCAUGGCUCCCUUCACUCUCCUUCAGUGAAGGCUGAAAUAGAUUUGACAUCUUUAAAUGUGUCCAUAUUGGUCUUGUGAUGUGGGUGCGAAUUCCUGUCAAUACAGCACAAUUUAGGAAUUGUUUCACUAGGAAGGUUUAUGGAUGGUGGUUCUAUCCAUCUUCUCACUCAAGCCACAACAUUAAUAUUCAAUGUUGUAUUAAUUAUA